This 421-nucleotide long non-coding RNA is filed under the name Homo sapiens (human). RNAcentral describes it as "HSALNT0303230". The record is from RNAcentral. Lineage: Eukaryota; Metazoa; Chordata; Mammalia; Primates; Hominidae.
CUGGGGUCCCAAGGGCAGUCCAGACAACCUGAACCUGUGACACUCACCCUGCCCACACACUCUCAGAGCUGCAGCUUUCACGGGGGUGACAUGAAUGCUUGUAAAUGAGCUUGCUGAAUGGGAGACCAAGAACGAUGAUAUUGAGCUGUUACUACAUGCCAGACAUUUAACCCUUUCAUCCAGGUUAUCUCAAUCAUUCCUUACAGAAAGGCUUUUGAGAUGUCCUUGCAACUGGAGGUGCCAUAUGAUACAGUUCUGCCCAAAGACAAGAAAGUGAAUGUCUGUUGAGGGCUUCCUAUAAGGCCAAUACAUACAGGUGUUCCCAACAACAGGACACAGCAAGAAGAUGGCUGUCUAUGAACCUGAAUAUGUCUAGCCCUCACCAGACACUGAAUCUGAGAGAACCUUGAUCUUGGAUUUC